GAAGGUGUAUCUAGAAAGACAAAUUAGAGCUUGAAAAGUAAAGCAUUUCAUUUACAUUGAAAAGUAUAUUGUGUAAUUCAAUUUAAUUUGAUAGUAAAAAUUUAUUAAUUUUUUUUGUUUUAAAAUUUAUUUAAUAAAAUUAAUUUUAAAUUAGGUUUUUUUUUGUAUAAUAUAUAGAUCAAAUAAUUUAUAUAAUAGUUAAUUAAGUAUUGUAAAAGAAUAUUGAAAGAUAUGAAAAAAUUUUAAAUUAAAAGUAAAUUUUAUAUAUUGUACCUUGUGUAUCAGGGUUUAUUAAUUAAAAGUUAAAAAUUUAAUUUUUCUCGAAUUUAAGAGAGUUAAUUUAUUAUUUAAUUUUUUGUUUCAUAAAAAUUUAAAAUAAUAAAUUAGAAAUGAAAUGUUAUUCGUUUUUAAAUAUAUCUAGUUUUUUAAGAAAUAAAUUAAAUUUAGAUUAUUAAUAAAUAAUUAUUUAUUUAAAUAAUGAAUUAUUAUUAAUAAUUAAUAUUUUAAGGGAUAAGCUUUAAAGUAAGUUUUAUAAUAAUUUUUUAGUUUAAAAAUUAUAGGUUUAGAAAUAGUCAUUAAUUAUGAAAAUGUUAUAAUUUAUUUUAAAUUAAAAAUGAUUUUUAUUGAUUUAAGUUUUUAUUAAAAUAAUUUUUGAAAUUAUAUAAAAAUUAAAAUAAUGAUAAAAUUAGUAUAUUUAAUUGUUUAAAAUAAAUAAAUUGAAAGGUUAAAUUAAGGAACUUGGCAAAUAAAUACUCGCCUGUUUAACAAAAACAUGUCUUUUUGAAUAUAAUUUAAAGUCUAAUCUGCCCACUGAAAGGAUUUAAAGGGCCGCAGUAUU
Molecule: ribosomal RNA, 838 nt
Filed under: Panorpodes paradoxus
Lineage: Eukaryota; Metazoa; Arthropoda; Insecta; Mecoptera; Panorpodidae
Description: partial 16S rRNA
Source: RNAcentral